UCGAGAAUCUUCCGCAAUGGGCGAAAGCCUGACGGAGCGACACCGCGUGCAGGACGAAGGCCUUCGGGUUGUAAACUGCUGUCACGCUAUAGGAGCCCCGGAUCGUUAAUACCGAUCCGGUCGACUAAAGCGAGAGGAAGUGGCGGCUAACUCUGUGCCAGCAGCCGCGGUAAGACAGAGGCCACGAACGUUGUUCGGAAUUACUGGGCAUAAAGCGCACGUAGGCGGCUAGGUCCGUCCGAUGUGAAAUACCCCGGCUCAACCGGGGAACUGCAUCGGAUACAGCCUGGCUUGAGGAUGGUUGGGGUGAGUGGAACUCCUGGUGGAGCGGUGAAAUGCGUAGAUAUCAGGAGGAACACCGGUGGCGAAAGCGGCUCACUGGACCAUUACUGACGCUGAG
Molecule: ribosomal RNA, 400 nt
Filed under: uncultured bacterium
Lineage: Bacteria
Description: bacterial SSU rRNA
Rfam family: Bacterial small subunit ribosomal RNA
Source: RNAcentral